GAUGAACGCUAGCGGGAGGCCUAACACAUGCAAGCCGAGCGGUAGAGAUCUUUCGGGAUCUUGAGAGCGGCGUACGGGUGCGGAACACGUGUGCAACCUGCCUUUAUCUGGGGGAUAGCCUUUCGAAAGGAAGAUUAAUACCCCAUAAUAUGUUGGAUGGCAUCAUUCGACAUUGAAAACUCCGGUGGAUAGAGAUGGGCACGCGCAAGAUUAGAUAGUUGGUGAGGUAACGGCUCACCAAGUCUGCGAUCUUUAGGGGGCCUGAGAGGGUGAUCCCCCACACUGGUACUGAGACACGGACCAGACUCCUACGGGAGGCAGCAGUGAGGAAUAUCGGACAAUGGGUGAGAGCCUGAUCCAGCCAUCCCGCGUGAAGGACGACGGCCCUAUGGGUUGUAAACUUCUUUUGUAUAGGGAUAAACCUACUCUCGUGAGAGUAGCUGAAGGUACUAUACGAAUAAGCACCGGCUAACUCCGUGCCAGCAGCCGCGGUAAUACGGAGGGUGCAAGCGUUAUCCGGAUUUAUUGGGUUUAAAGGGUCCGUAGGCGGAUCUGUAAGUCAGUGGUGAAAUCUCACAGCUUAACUGUGAAACUGCCAUUGAUACUGCAGGUCUUGAGUGUUGUUGAAGUAGCUGGAAUAAGUAGUGUAGCGGUGAAAUGCAUAGAUAUUACUUAGAACACCAAUUGCGAAGGCAGGUUACUAAGCAACAACUGACGCUGAUGGACGAAAGCGUGGGGAGCGAACAGGAUUAGAUACCCUGGUAGUCCACGCCGUAAACGAUGCUAACUCGUUUUUGGGCUUUCGGGUUCAGAGACUAAGCGAAAGUGAUAAGUUAGCCACCUGGGGAGUACGAACGCAAGUUUGAAACUCAAAGGAAUUGACGGGGGCCCGCACAAGCGGUGGAUUAUGUGGUUUAAUUCGAUGAUACGCGAGGAACCUUACCAAGGCUUAAAUGGGAAAUGACAGGUUUAGAAAUAGACUUUUCUUCGGACAUUUUUCAAGGUGCUGCAUGGUUGUCGUCAGCUCGUGCCGUGAGGUGUUAGGUUAAGUCCUGCAACGAGCGCAACCCCUGUCACUAGUUGCCAUCAUUAAGUUGGGGACUCUAGUGAGACUGCCUACGCAAGUAGAGAGGAAGGUGGGGAUGACGUCAAAUCAUCACGGCCCUUACGCCUUGGGCCACACACGUAAUACAAUGGCCGGUACAGAGGGCAGCUACACAGCGAUGUGAUGCAAAUCUCGAAAGCCGGUCUCAGUUCGGAUUGGAGUCUGCAACUCGACUCUAUGAAGCUGGAAUCGCUAGUAAUCGCGCAUCAGCCAUGGCGCGGUGAAUACGUUCCCGGGCCU
This 1345-nucleotide ribosomal RNA is filed under the name uncultured bacterium. RNAcentral describes it as "bacterial SSU rRNA". It matches the Rfam family "Bacterial small subunit ribosomal RNA", at positions 28 to 1381 of the family's 1533-position model. The record is from RNAcentral.